This 406-nucleotide ribosomal RNA is filed under the name uncultured bacterium. Its description in RNAcentral is "partial 16S ribosomal RNA". It matches the Rfam family "Bacterial small subunit ribosomal RNA", at positions 30 to 526 of the family's 1533-position model. The record is from RNAcentral.
AUUGAACGCUGGCGGCAGGCUUAACACAUGCAAGUCGAGCGAGCGGCGGACGGGUGAGUAAUGUAUGGGAAACUGCCUUAUGGAGGGGGAUAACUACUGGAAACGGUAGCUAAUACCGCAUACCAUUCGAUGUUCCCAUAGGGGAUUAGCUAGUAGGUGGGGUAAUGGCUCACCUAGGCGACGAUCCCUAGCUGGUCUGAGAGGAUGACCAGCCACACUGGAACUGAGACACGGUCCAGACUCCUACGGGAGGCAGCAGUGGGGAAUAUUGCACAAUGGGCGCAAGCCUGAUGCAGCCAUGCCGCGUGUGUGAAGAAGGCCUUCGGGUUGUAAAGCACUUUCAGCGAGGAGGCGGUACUCGAAGAAGAAGCACCGGCUAACUCCGUGCCAGCCGCCGCGGUAAUAC